This 253-nucleotide ribosomal RNA is filed under the name uncultured bacterium. RNAcentral's name for it is "partial 16S ribosomal RNA". It matches the Rfam family "Bacterial small subunit ribosomal RNA", at positions 524 to 776 of the family's 1533-position model. The record is from RNAcentral.
UACGAAGGGAGCUAGCGUUGUUCGGAAUCACUGGGCGUAAAGCGCACGUAGGCGGAUGUGUCAGUCAGGGGUGAAAUCCCGGAGCUCAACUCCGGAACUGCCCUUGAUACAGCACGUCUUGAGUCCGAGAGAGGUGAGUGGAAUUCCUAGUGUAGAGGUGAAAUUCGUAGAUAUUAGGAAGAACACCAGUGGCGAAGGCGGCUCACUGGCUCGGUACUGACGCUGAGGUGCGAAAGCGUGGGGAGCAAACAGG